UUUCAGUUUCCAGUGGGUUGAGUACUCUCCCAGUGAAAAAUGAUAAAAAUAAAAUCACUUCUACAGAAUUACGUGCGAGAAAGCAAGACAUGUGUUACAACUUUGGACAUUCACUCAAACCCUCUUCACUCUCACCCUCCACUUCCAGCUCUCAUAUCACUCAAGCAUAGACCAUUUUUCUCAGAAAAACAGAUAUUGUGACAUCGCUCCAUUUCUUAGGUGGAGUUGGGAGUUCAGGAAGCACGAAAUUCAGUCAUCAACAUCGCUGUAAACUUGUUUGGAGUACAGGAUUGAGGUGUUUCCAACCAUGGUUGAUCACGGGGAAGCCACAAAUAUACUGUGCAUCGCAUUCGUUGCAGCGAUACUUCUCGCCAUGAUGGCAUACAGUCUAUUUUGGUGCGGAAUUUGCGUUCGAUCUGCAACACUAAGGCCAAUUGAUAUAGCAAGAGCUCCACUACUGAGGUACCUUGAUGCAUCUGGAAUUCGGGGUUUUCGGUAUAGAACUGGAGAAGAUGACCCUUUUCUCGUUUAGAGAGGAGGUCAUGUGGACAUGCAAGGGCGACUGUGUAUCCAUCUAGCAAGCAUGAAGUUUUUCCUUUUUUCCAGAAAAAAAGCCUUGUAAUAAGCCUGGUAAUUAGGGUAACUUUUUGAAUAAAGACUAGCGUUAUAAUUCA
This is a long non-coding RNA of Vitis vinifera (wine grape), 674 nucleotides long. RefSeq lists it as uncharacterized. The transcript has 2 exons. NCBI's taxonomy places the organism in Eukaryota, Viridiplantae, Streptophyta, Magnoliopsida, Vitales, Vitaceae. The record is from RefSeq and is a predicted model, not a curated record.